GGACCUCUAUCCGGAAAAGA
Molecule: ribosomal RNA, 20 nt
Filed under: Plagiomnium maximoviczii
Lineage: Eukaryota; Viridiplantae; Streptophyta; Bryopsida; Bryales; Mniaceae
Also listed under: 1 other name
Description: partial 28S ribosomal RNA
Source: RNAcentral